CGGACGGGUGAGUAAUGCUUGGGAAUCUGGCUUAUGGAGGGGGAUAACUACGGGAAACUGUAGCUAAUACCGCGUAGUAUCGAGAGAUGAAAGACUGGGACCGCAAGGCCAGUUGCCAUAAGAUGAGCCCAAGUGGGAUUAGGUAGUUGGUGGGGUAAAGGCCUACCAAGCCGACGAUCUCUAGCUGGUCUGAGAGGAUGACCAGCCACACUGGAACUGAGACACGGUCCAGACUCCUACGGGAGGCAGCAGUGGGGAAUAUUGCACAAUGGGGGGAACCCUGAUGCAGCCAUGCCGCGUGAAUGAAGAAGGCCUUCGGGUUGUAAAGUUCUUUCGGUGAUGAGGAAGGGUAGUGUUUUAAUAGAACAUUACAUUGACGUUAGUCACAGAAGAAGCACCGGCUAACUCCGUGCCAGCAGCCGCGGUAAUACGGAGGGUGCGAGCGUUAAUCGGAAUGACUGGGCGUAAAGGGCACGCAGGCGGUGACUUAAGUGAGAUGUGAAAGCCCCGAGCUUAACUUGGGAAUUGCAUUUCAUACUGGGUUGCUAGAGUAUUUUAGGGAGGGGUAGAAUUCCACGUGUAGCGGUGAAAUGCGUAGAGAUGUGGAGGAAUACCGAAGGCGAAGGCAGCCCCUUGGGAAAAUACUGACGCUCAUGUGCGAAAGCGUGGGGAGCAAACAGGAUUAGAUACCCUGGUAGUCCACGCUGUAAACGCUGUCGAUUUGGGGAUUGGGCUUAGAGCUUGGUGCCCGUAGCUAACGUGAUAAAUCGACCGCCUGGGGAGUACGGCCGCAAG
RNAcentral lists this ribosomal RNA (795 nucleotides) under uncultured Haemophilus sp. RNAcentral describes it as "bacterial SSU rRNA". It matches the Rfam family "Bacterial small subunit ribosomal RNA", at positions 99 to 892 of the family's 1533-position model. The record is from RNAcentral. Lineage: Bacteria; Pseudomonadati; Pseudomonadota; Gammaproteobacteria; Pasteurellales; Pasteurellaceae.